CCUACGGGUGGCAGCAGUGGGGAAUAUUGCACAAUGGGGGAAACCCUGAUGCAGCGACGCCGCGUGAGUGAAGAAGUAUCUCGGUAUGUAAAGCUCUAUCAGCAGGGAAGAAAAUGACGGUACCUGAAUAAGAAGCACCGUCUAACUACGAGCCAGCAGCCGCGGCAACACGUAGGGUGCAAGCGUUAUCCGGAUUUACUGGGUGUAAAGGGAGCGUAGGCGGCGGUGCAAGUUCGGAGUGAAAUCCCCGGGCUUAACCAUGGUACCGCUUUGGAAACUGUGGAGCUUGAGUGUGGGAGGGGCAGGCGGAAUGCCUAGUGUAGCGGUGAAAUGCUUAGAUAUUAGGCAGAACACCGGUGGCGAAGGCAGCUUAC
RNAcentral lists this ribosomal RNA (374 nucleotides) under uncultured bacterium. Its description in RNAcentral is "partial 16S ribosomal RNA". It matches the Rfam family "Bacterial small subunit ribosomal RNA", at positions 338 to 729 of the family's 1533-position model. The record is from RNAcentral.